Molecule: long non-coding RNA, 411 nt
Filed under: Linum usitatissimum (flax)
Lineage: Eukaryota; Viridiplantae; Streptophyta; Magnoliopsida; Malpighiales; Linaceae
Description: long non-coding RNA (LUSI_LNC004168)
Source: RNAcentral
AUUUGUAAGGGCUCAUAUUAAUAAUUCAAUUCUCUAAUAUUCUGCCACAAUUAAUUGUAAUCCAAAUAGUCUAUUUGACAAAAUCUCUAUCUUAGAAAUUUUAGAAUCCAAAUCACCCAAAAUCUCUCAUUAUCCCCUACACAACAAGGCCUAAAUAUUGAACUAAGACACAACAAUACUUACAAAGAAUUAAUUUGGAAUUAAUUACCAACGAUUGAGUGUCCCGGUGGUAGGACAAGGAGAUUGUUAACCGUGAUAAUGCUAGUUCGAUCCACAACUCCGUUAAGGAUUUUGAUGAACGGAUUUUACCCCGCUUUCAAAUACCCACUAGAUUGCUCUAGUGGGAUCGUAAUUCUCCCUAGGGUCUUUCUAUUCUUAUUACUCAAGUUGAUUUUGCUAACUAGACCAAGU